GCUGUAUAUUGUUGGGAACUGGAACACACUGUCGUACACGUCAAUUCAGAGCAUCCCGAACAUGGGUGACAUGUCUGGGCGGGGAGGAAGAGAGCCAGUGUGACGCAGCAGAGUCUCAGCAGCAACCUCUUCAUCCUGGAAAGAACGGACCAAUCAGGACAGCCAUAUUUCAGUCCCGCCCCUCAGGUCCAGGAAGUAUGUCAGGAGGUGGAUGAGUUCAUCUAUGUGGCCAAUGCAGAGACAGGAAGAGGUAACACCAAGACUCCAACACAUUCCUCAUACUUGCUCCUAUUCCUAGGCCCUUGUUGCCAGCCAGAUAAUCUUGUCAAGCUAUCGCAACAUCAGGCUGGUUCCACCAGGCUACCUUCCAGGACCAGAUCCAGGGAAAGAUCAGGCUCGUUCCACCAGGCUACCUUCCAGGACCAAAUCCAGUGAAAGGUGGUGAGGGGGAGGCGUCUUAGAUUCAGGCAUUGGUGGACCCUGCCUAGUGUUCAUCCUCCAGAACCCUCCUUGUCCUGACUUUUGUGUCCAGAGAGGAACCAGACCCAAUCAGAACCACUAGUCCCAGUACUGCUAGAUUAAAGACCAGGACCCCCAGUGUAGAUAUUGCACAGAGGCUCUGCCUGUGCCUGCUGCCUAACCCCUGGAUUGUCUGUCUGUCUGUCUGUCUGUCUGUCUGUCUGUCUGUCUGUCUGUCUGUCUGUCUGUCUGUCUGUCUGUCUGUCUGUCUGUCUGUCUGUCUGUCUGUUUGUCUGUCUGUCUAUGGUCUAUGUAGUCUCUCUGUUUGUCUGUCUGUCUAUGGUCUAUGUAGUCUGUCUGUCUGCUGGGGUGCUCUGGUCUCAGGCUGUAGCUAUCUGUCAGAGGAUCCUGUCUGCUGGGGGGCUGUGGUCUCAGGUCUCAGGCUGUAGUUCCUUAGACAGAUAGCUAUCUUCAGCACAAAUGCUUCUGAAGGAAUGUUCUACCUCUGAUGUGCCUUGUUUCAAUGAAUCGCAAAAGAAAAAGUCAUUAUUGGGUAAAUAUUAUUUAAUAACCCUGUAGUAAUUUUUUUGUGAAUAAAUAGUGGGUUGUGAAACAAAACAGAAGUGAAGAGAACUACUGUUUAACUGUAGCUAUGGUACUUUAGUGAAGAUAAUAAAGGGUUUUGGUUAUCACAUUAUUUUCUUCUACUACUACUGCGUAGUUUAGAAGCAUUUAGAAUCAUAUUGAUGUGACAAGGAAUUAUGGGUCAAAAAAAAAAUAUACCUUUAUUUCAGCAAAUCAUGCAAUUUUUUUUCAUUUCUUUCAUAUAAGUUAUAAUUUUUUUAUACUCCAAAGUAUUAUGCUUUUUUCUUUCAUUGUUUAAAUUCAUGUUCUAAAUUACCACUGCACAAGUUGUUAUAAAGCAACUGAAAGCCUUCGGUGGGUCACAGCACAGAAACGUUGGUGAGCUGUGCGUCUGGAACAGUGAAAGGCGUUUGCUUCGUAGUCAAACAGUAGUUCACAGGCCAAACCUUUCAUUUCUUCCUUAAUCUGCACCAUGAAAAACAACAAGAAAAGAAGAAGAAAUGGACAGGUGAAACAUCUCUCCACUAGGCACCUGUAUUCCUUCUACUGUGUUUUCAGAUGAGCGCAGACUGGAAGGAGAGGAGACAGGAAGUCAUUUUAAAGUAUUGAGAUACACCCCUCUGGCUCAGGCAAUGGUACAACAUGCUACUCCAAGUUUUCUGUGGUUAUUUUCCUCUGAGGUCAGUAUUGGCACACUAAACUGAAUUCACAUCUGUCUGAUGGGGGGAGGACAAUGUUCCUAUUUACACCACAAUGGGGCAGGCCUGCUCCUGCUUCUCAGGGCCAGGGGAAGCUGUAGAAUGUAGACUAGUUGCAGCUUGGUUUACUAUGUUUUGGGCAUGGGGGUUGCGCUGUGACCCCCCCUGAAAACAAAUUAAAAUGAAAACUCAAACCACACAUUUCUAAACACAAUCAAGAAUGUACUGUAGCAACCCUGUGUUUAUAAGCACCAAUAUCAACUCUGCCACAUGAGCACACUUUUGUGGCACAGCACGCUGGGCUAUGGCCGGAAGGUUGGCGGUUUGAAUACCACCACGGACAAGCUCACUUUCCCCUGCUUGUUAUCUGUUGAUAAAGUGUGGAGGUCGUUGUCUGAUACAAUACAUUAGAGCUGGAAUCCUUAAUAGUGAAACAUCCGUUUCAGAUAUUACAACAACAAAGAAGUCAUUGCAAACAACUAACACUUUACCCCCCCAUCCCCCGCUUGGACAAUAUUGCAGAAUUUGUCCUGCAGUUUUAGCAUGCUGCUCAACACUCAUCAGCUUCGUUUUGUCUAAACCAUGUUCAAUUACAGUACUUGAAAAUUGCACCAGUCUAUUCUAUUACUUGUAAGUUCUCACUGACCAACCGGUGCUUUGGUAGGUGACCAUGAUAGAGUAGACCUUCUGCUCUGAACUAUCCAUUUUUUUUAUAAAACAUUUUUGUUUUUUUUACUUCACCUUUAUUUAACCAGGUAGGCAUGUUGC
Non-coding RNA from Oncorhynchus mykiss (rainbow trout), 2510 nucleotides. NCBI's taxonomy places the organism in Eukaryota, Metazoa, Chordata, Actinopteri, Salmoniformes, Salmonidae. The record is from RefSeq and is a predicted model, not a curated record.